GACGAACGCUGGCGGCGUGCUUAACACAUGCAAGUCGAGCGGUAAGGCCCUUUCGGGGGUACACGAGCGGCGAACGGGUGAGUAACACGUGGGUGACCUGCCCUUAGCUCUGGGAUAAGCCUGGGAAACGUGGGUCUAAUACCGGAUAUGACUCCAUGACGCAUGUUGUGGGGUGGAAAGCCUUGUGCGGCUAGGGAUGGGCCCGCGGCCUAUCAGCUUGUUGGUGGGGUGAUGGCCACCAAGGCGACGACGGGUAGCCGGCCUGAGAGGGCGACCGGCCACACUGGGACUGAGACACGGCCCAGACUCCUACGGGAGGCAGCAGUGGGGAAUCUUGCGCAAUGGGCGAAAGCCUGACGCAGCGACGCCGCGUGGGGA
RNAcentral lists this ribosomal RNA (378 nucleotides) under uncultured bacterium. RNAcentral describes it as "bacterial SSU rRNA". It matches the Rfam family "Bacterial small subunit ribosomal RNA", at positions 28 to 407 of the family's 1533-position model. The record is from RNAcentral.